GCGCCAGUAGCUCAGUGGAUAGAGUGUUUCACUCCGAAUGAAAAGGCCGCGAGUUCGAUCCUCGCCUGGCGCACCA
This 76-nucleotide transfer RNA is filed under the name Bacillota bacterium. RNAcentral's name for it is "tRNA-Arg". It matches the Rfam family "tRNA". From Rfam's summary of the family: Transfer RNA (tRNA) molecules are approximately 80 nucleotides in length. The record is from RNAcentral. Lineage: Bacteria; Bacillati; Bacillota.